AAGGACAUUGCAGGCCAUCAUCUGCCAAACCUGGUUUAUUUGUCUAGAGAAAAAAGAAAGGUUUGUCAACACCAUUUCAAAGCCGGUGCCCUUAAUGCCUUGAUUCGGGUGUCGGCUGUCAUGACCAAUGCACCAAUAAUCUUGAGUUUGGACUGCGAUACAUACUCAAAUGACCCACAAACACCUGAGCGUAUAUUAUGUUAUUUCUGGGAUCCUGAAGUUAGGGCCACAUGUGGGUUCAUUCAAUUUCCUCAGCUUUUCAAAGGGUUGAACAAGACUGACAUUUAUGCUGGUCAAUUUAAACGUUUGUUCCAAAUUCACCCUUCUGGUUUUGAUGGGCUAAUGGGUGGAAACUUUUAUGGGACUGGAGGCUUCUUUUCCCGGAGAGUGUUCUUUGGAACCCCAUCAACUAUGCUCACACCAGAACUACCUCAACUUAACCCAUAUUAUGUUGUGAACAAGCCCACUCAAUCUCAAGAGAUCUUGGCUUUGGCACAUCAAGUUGCUGGUUGCCAUUUUGAGAAGGAUACGGACUGGGGCAUUAAGAAAGGGUUCAGGUAUGGAUCUCUAGUCGAAGACACCUAUACAAGCUAUAGGCUACAUUGUGAAGGGUGGAGAUCUGUAUUUUGCAAUCCUGAGAGGCCUGCAUUUUAUGGAGAAGCACCAAUUAGCUUGACGGAUGUGAUGAACCAACAAAGGAGGUGG
RNAcentral lists this unclassified non-coding RNA (705 nucleotides) under Hevea brasiliensis (rubber tree). Lineage: Eukaryota; Viridiplantae; Streptophyta; Magnoliopsida; Malpighiales; Euphorbiaceae. The record is from RNAcentral.